UUAGUCUCCGUUUCCUUUCAUGCCUGAUGCCCUAUCUGGCAGCUCUAUCUUUUGCCUCAUCUUCUUUUCUGUUAUUCAUAUGCUCCCUGGUCCCUGAGGGUUCAGCUGGCUCACUUGGCGUCUAACCCACAGCUCCCCAGACUGGGAGGUAAGAGCCUUAAAGGCAAACUCAUGUCUUCACCUGUACCUAGAACUGGGUCUGAGUCUGCUGAAUUGAAUGCAAUCUUGACCUCUUUUUCAUGUUCCCAGCAGCUCCCAGGCCCAGAGCCCACAAUUCCUGUGGGUGUCCAUGUUUGAGAGGUUUUGUCACACCCCUAAGGAUGACGCAGGUGCAGCCUUUUAUCGGUUUCAAAGGUGGCUUUAUGUGGAGAAGGAAUCCAAAAGCUGUAGAAAGGAAAGAGAAAAAAAGCCCUCCCCAUCUUAACCCCUUAAGCUUUCCUCACAAAGAACAACAGAGUGAAACCGAACUAUUACGACACAGACGAGACACCGAAAUGGGACACGACAGAAGGGUUUUCACAUGCCUUUGACUUCCUUUUUUCACCCAGGGUACAGACCAAUCUUGGUAAAGACAGGAAUCUGUUUGACAAACAUGAACAUGACACCUAAAACCCAACGCCCAUAUUGUUCUGUUCUGUUUUCAACAAGCCCUUCACCUCCCAACACUCAGGAACAAAAGCAACAGCCACAACCAAUCUGGAGUUACAGGGCUUUUACCUUUCUGGGGAGUUUUGCACUUCGGGUCCCAGGAAAGUCAAUUUGAGAUAUCAGAGGCAGCCCAGAGACAGAGCAGAAGACCAUGCUUUGUUGCCGGGCAGACUGGUGAGACAAAGGCCUGACCUGUUAGGGCUGCGUGUGGAAACCAGGCUGGGAGGCCCAUUUGUACAAGUGGCAAGACAGCCAAAGAAGCAAUUCCAGCCUUACCGCUUCUGACAAAAUUUAGCCAAGCGUUGAUCUGCAGGGAAGAAAAUCUGCUGGCUGAUCCCCACUCCUUCCUUGACAAUCUGAGCCCCCUUCUAACUCAGCUGCAGAAUCUAGACAUCUUUGAAAAGCCUGUUCUUUGUUACUCAUUACCACCAGCUCCUAACCUUCAAAGCACCAGAACUGGACAGAAUCAAGUCACCUAACUUGUAUGUGCCUCAGGAUCCCAUGUUUAAAACCAAGAUAAUACCACCCCGUCUCCUCUUCAUCACUGAGAUAUACUAAGGACCAAGAGAGGCGAGUGCCUGAGGGUCUUCCCCGAAGAGACCACCAAAGGCCCACAGUGUAUACAACACAGACCAGAGGGUCUGCCCUGGGGCCCUUGGGGGUCACCACGCUCUUUUCAGAUCUGCAAGAUCAAACUCUUUCCAAAACACCACUAGGCCACUCCUUCUCGUGCAGUACACAGUGGAGUCUGCUGGGGCCACAAGGUGUGUGAUUAUGUCAUCACUCUAAUCAUGACUAAUGGAAUGUGUGCUUGUGAGUUCUUGUGCUGUAAGAUUUUCUGUUUUAGAGUCUAGUUAAGUAUCGGUAGACAAAAGCUCUUUGGAAUCUUCAAUAACUUGCCUGUGGUUAAAGAGGCCCUGAGACCAGUGCAAGACCAGCCAAUCCGGAACUUGGUCCCACUGAAGCAAGCAGUUCCCAGGAAUGCCCACAGCUUCACCCUGAACAGGGAGUGGCCCAGAACGUUCUGCAGGCACUUGAUGGAAAAGACAAAACUCUAAGUGGUUCAGAGAGGCAUAAAUGCAGAUCGGCUCUGGGAAUGAUUCAAUAAACAGGUAGUAGCAAAAAUAGCUUCCUCCUCAACAAUCAACAACUAUUCGUUGGGAACUCAAAAUGAACAAACGAUAAGUGCCAAGAGAAAUAAAACAGUCAUUGUGAGGGAGCCUAUACUCUGGUUGGCAAGAUGAGCAGUACAUUUGAGAAGAUGACCAAAAGCGCAAGACCGUUCUGGGAAAGUGAUAAGCAAGUGAUUGUCAUAUUAUGGCUACGUGAGGAUAAGACUGUAGGUCGUGGUAUCGAGAAGGAUAGAACUCAGGAAAGCAAGCAUAAUUCUAAGAAGGCCGAAACCAGGAAGUUGUUUCAGCCAGAAACAGUGAGAUAAAGAACGGGUAAAAAUGCUCAAGGGACAGGUAGAUGUGGUCUGACUAAAGCAGAGGCUCCGAAAUAACACUGGAACUUCAGGCUGAGAAAUGGGUCUGGCUAGACUGGGUAGUGCCACAAAUGACAGACUAUAUGAUCUUGAACUUAUUGUCAAGAGAACAAGAGUUGGACCCUUAAGUCACUGAAUCCUAGCCUCUGGGAUGACUCACACCCAAAGAGCUUGAAUAAAAGCCAGUUCUUAAAUCAGUGAAAGUCAGAGACAAGUGGUAUUUUGAGAUUCUACAGAGGUCAUUGGAAAGGCAGGUCAUCUAAGGGCCUCUUAACUUUGUAAACACUCAGAAUCUGAGAGCCCACAACCAUUUUGUUGAAACUGUGCACUUGAGAGCCUUCACAGAGAUAGUGUUAUUUGAGGGGAAGGCCCAAUACGGUAGGUCUUGGCUUAAAUAAGUUCUUAUCUAGAACUCACAAGGCUCCAUGAUCUUUUACCCAAUUUAAAAAGUAACUCAACUCAUAGAAAUAUCUUACACUCAGAGACAAGGAUGGGGAAGAUUAGAAGAUAGUAGACUCUGUGAAAGAAAGAGACAAUCUCUUGCUUUGUUUUCAAAAUUACUUAGUAUUCCAAAAAGAAUUACUGGUAGGAUCUGGGCCAUGGUAGGUUUAGCAUGUGGAGGGACAAAGCCUAUGACUGAAAUGUUUCUAAUACCCAGAGUAUCACUGACAUUUAUCUUAGUAUGACAAUAAAAGAACAGGCACAAUUUCUAUACAAUUUCUGUUUGGAAUGAGCCAAACAAUUUCAUUAUGGGGAGUGGUAAGUCAAGCACUGUGUCAUUUUUCUCCUCCUACAAGUGUAGGUCUGUGAGAUAAGUCAAUCACCACACACUUUACGGAGGGGGAAGAGCUUACCUUACAUGGUACUGUAAAAUGCUGAGAGCUAAUGUUACAGUGGGUAGCUAGAGAUUUCCCAGUGGUCUUUGACUAGGUUCUGCCAAAUCACCCAUUUUUUACUUAUUUUUCCUUUAAAAUGAUUAAAUGUUUAAUCUUUAAUUGGCAAAUACAUUGA
Mustela erminea (ermine) is the source of this 3145-nucleotide long non-coding RNA. RefSeq lists it as uncharacterized. Lineage: Eukaryota; Metazoa; Chordata; Mammalia; Carnivora; Mustelidae. The record is from RefSeq and is a predicted model, not a curated record. The transcript has 4 exons.